GAUGAACGCUGGCGGCGUGCCUAAUACAUGCAAGUCGAGCGAACAGACGAGGAGCUUGCUCCUCUGACGUUAGCGGCGGACGGGUGAGUAACACGUGGAUAACCUACCUAUAAGACUGGGAUAACUUCGGGAAACCGGAGCUAAUACCGGAUAAUAUAUUGAACCGCAUGGUUCAAUAGUGAAAGACGGUUUUGCUGUCACUUAUAGAUGGAUCCGCGCCGCAUUAGCUAGUUGGUAAGGUAACGGCUUACCAAGGCAACGAUGCGUAGCCGACCUGAGAGGGUGAUCGGCCACACUGGAACUGGGACACGGUCCAGACUCCUAAGGGAGGCAGCAGUAGGGAAUCUUCCGCAAUGGGCGAAAGCUUGACGGAGCAACGCCGCGUGAGUGAAGAAGGUCUUCGGAUCGUAAAACUCUGUUAUUAGGGAAGAACAAAUGUGUAAGUAACUAUGCACGUCUUGACGGUACCUAAUCAGAAAGCCACGGCUAACUACGUG
This 497-nucleotide ribosomal RNA is filed under the name uncultured bacterium. Its description in RNAcentral is "partial 16S ribosomal RNA". It matches the Rfam family "Bacterial small subunit ribosomal RNA", at positions 28 to 507 of the family's 1533-position model. The record is from RNAcentral.